AGAGUUUAAUCCUGGCUCAGGAUGAACGCUAGCUACAGGCUUAACACAUGCAAGUCGAGGGGCAGCAUGUUGGUUGCUUGCAACCAACGAUGGCGACCGGCGCACGGGUGAGUAACGCGUAUCCAACCUACCCUUGUCCAUCGGAUAACCCGUCGAAAGGCGGCCUAACACGAUAUGCGGUUCACGGCAGGCAUCUAAGGUGAACGAAAUGUGAAGGAGAAGGAUGGGGAUGCGUCUGAUUAGCUUGUUGGCGGGUAACGGCCACCAAGGCUACGAUCAGUAGGGGUCCUGGAGAGGAAGGUCCCCCACACUUGGAACUGAGACACGGUCCAAACUCCUACGGAGGCA
This 348-nucleotide ribosomal RNA is filed under the name uncultured bacterium. RNAcentral's name for it is "bacterial SSU rRNA". It matches the Rfam family "Bacterial small subunit ribosomal RNA", at positions 8 to 350 of the family's 1533-position model. The record is from RNAcentral.